GGCAGUGGGAGCUGCAGCCCGGAGUUGGGACUGAGACAAGGCCCCAGGCCCUACGGGGCGCAGCAGGCGCGAAACCUCUGCAAUGCGGGAAACCGUGACAGGGGGAUUCCAAGUGCUCAUGCAUUGCAUGGGCUGUUCUUUGGUCUAAGUAACCAGAGGAGUAAGGGCUGGGCAAGACCGGAGCCAGCCGCCGCGGUAAUACCGGCAGCUCGAGUGGUAGCCGCGAUUAUUGGGCCUAAAACGUUCGUAGCCGGAUAAGUAAGUCUUUGGUUAAAUCCUACGACUUAACCGUGGGAAAUCUAGAGAUACUGCUUGUCUUGAGACCGGGAGAGGUUGGAGGUACUCCCAGGGUAGGGGUGAAAUCCUGUAAUCCUGGGGGGACCACCUGUGGCGAAGGCGUCCAACUGGAACGGCUCUGACGGUGAGGGACGAAACCUAGGGGAGCGAGCCGGAUUAGAUACCCGGGUAGUCCUAGGCGUAAAUGAUGCGAGUUAAGUGUGGGGGCAUCUACGAGAUGGCCCUGUGCUGUAGGGUAGCCGUUAAACUCGCUGCCUGGGGAGUACGGUCGCAAGGCUGAAACUUAAAGGAAUUGGCGGGGGAGCACCACAAGAGGUGGAGGCUGCGGUUCAAUUGGAUUCAACGCCGGG
RNAcentral lists this ribosomal RNA (647 nucleotides) under uncultured archaeon. RNAcentral's name for it is "bacterial SSU rRNA". It matches the Rfam family "Archaeal small subunit ribosomal RNA", at positions 272 to 922 of the family's 1478-position model. The record is from RNAcentral.